Molecule: transfer RNA, 84 nt
Filed under: Planctomycetota bacterium
Lineage: Bacteria; Pseudomonadati; Planctomycetota
Also listed under: 1 other name
Description: tRNA-Leu
Rfam family: tRNA
About the family: Transfer RNA (tRNA) molecules are approximately 80 nucleotides in length. Their secondary structure includes four short double-helical elements and three loops (D, anti-codon, and T loops).
Source: RNAcentral
GGGCGAGUGGCGGAAUGGCAGACGCUGGGGACUUAAAAUCCCCUGGGGUAAUACCCCGUGCGGGUUCGAUUCCCGCCUCGCCUA